UUUAUUGGAGAGUUUGAUCCUGGCUCAGGAUGAACGCUGGCGGCGUGCCUAAUACAUGCAAGUCGAGCGAAUGGAUUAAGAGCUUGCUCUUAUGAAGUUAGCGGCGGACGGGUGAGUAACACGUGGGUAACCUGCCCAUAAGACUGGGAUAACUCCGGGAAACCGGGGCUAAUACCGGAUAAUAUUUUGAACUGCAUGGUUCGAAAUUGAAAGGCGGCUUCGGC
RNAcentral lists this ribosomal RNA (224 nucleotides) under Bacillus cereus. RNAcentral describes it as "partial 16S ribosomal RNA". It matches the Rfam family "Bacterial small subunit ribosomal RNA", at positions 1 to 218 of the family's 1533-position model. The record is from RNAcentral. Lineage: Bacteria; Bacillati; Bacillota; Bacilli; Caryophanales; Bacillaceae.